Long non-coding RNA from Helicoverpa armigera (cotton bollworm), 1237 nucleotides. RefSeq lists it as uncharacterized. Lineage: Eukaryota; Metazoa; Arthropoda; Insecta; Lepidoptera; Noctuidae. The transcript is spliced from 3 exons. The record is from RefSeq and is a predicted model, not a curated record.
UGACCAGCGAGCGAGCGCAGUAUUGCAGAUUGAAUUUGAAGUGUUUUUCGCCUUUUUGGGUUAUUAUUACAAAACCAGUGACGAGAUGGAUGAUGACAUUGACCAAGACGUCCCUCAGUUAUUAAAGCAGUGGGGUUUACCCCAAUAUAUUCAUACUUUUCAAGCCGUUGAAAAAUCUACUCUUAAAAUCGAAUGAAGGACAAGGCCUGCUAAAUUUAUAUUCAGAACAAGGCAAAUUAUCAAAUAAUGGGCGAAGAAAAGUUUGCAAUAUAAUAAUAAAAGACCUAAUGCAAUCAGACCCAAAUAAAAGAAUAGACAGUUCUCUACUUCUUACAAAAGCACAAGAAAUAACUGAAGUAUUCAAAAAGGAAAAUAUAAGUACUUACUUUAUUCCAUACAUUAAUGAUACUAAACUUAAAAUAAAAAGAUGUGCAAAAGGCAAAUUAUAUGACUGUCUACAAAACAGGCGCCGCGAAUUAAGGGAGGCUAAGGUUAUUAAAAGAAAAAUGGCAGCAACAUCAACAAUAACAGCAACGAGCCAGAAGUCGUCGAAGAAGAUGGUGGUGCAGAUGAAGAUAUCCAGUGGCUCCAAAACUGUACAGAACCCUGGCAUUUAGUGAUAGAGAAGUGGCAAAAAACUUCCAAAAAUAGAUUGAAGGAAAUAGAGACUUCAGAAAUGACCAUCGGAGCAUACAUUAAUAAAUAUCCAGUGUUAAAACGCCACGCGGGCAUGAGCUUCUUAUUGAAGAUUUAAGAAGGGCCCUAUUAGAGCCUGUUCACACUAGCAUUAAUAUCGCCGCGAGCACGCGGCGAGCAAGCUGCGAUAUCACACACAUAUAAAGUUUGCUCGCGGCGAUAUUAUUGCGAUAAAAUAAUCGCCGCGAUACCGCGACGACCCGCGGCGAGCUCGUUGCGUGCACGCCGCGAUCUCGCAUCGCCGAAAAGAAUCGCUAGUGUGAACAGGCUCUAAUAGGGCCCCAUACUUUACAAGUUGAAUGUAGAAAUGAUAAGUAUAAGGGACGUCGACGCUGAAAAGACGCCUGAACGGGUAGCAUGAUCGCGCGAAAAGUGAUAAAACAUCUCCCUAUCGCACUAUUAGUAAGUGCGAUAGGGACGGAUGUUUUAUCGCGCGAUCAUGCUACCGAUGCAGAUGUGAGGGGCCGUAAUGUGUAAGUGUAAUUUCUACGGACCAAUGAUUGUGAUGAUUAUAUUAAAAUAAAUGUCAUUUUUCUCUGUA